CCUACGGGGGGCAGCAGUGAGGAAUAUUGGUCAAUGGCCGCAGGGCUGAACCAGCCAAGUCGCGUGAGGGAUGACGGCCCUACGGAUUGUAAACCUCUUUUGUCAGGGAGCAAAGCGCGCCACGUGUGGCUCUUUGCGAGUACCUGAAGAAAAAGCAUCGGCUAACUCCGUGCCAGCAGCCGCGGUAAUACGGAGGAUGCGAGCGUUAUCCGGAUUUAUUGGGUUUAAAGGGUGCGUAGGCGGGCGUUUAAGCCGGCGGUAAAAUUUCGGGGCUCAACCCCGGACUGCCGUCGAAACUGGGUGCCUUGAGUGGGCGAGAAGUAUGCGGAAGGCGUGGUGUAGCGGUGAAAUGCAUAGAUAUCACGCAGAACUCCGAUUGCGAAGGCAGCAUACCGGCGCGCUACUGACGCUGAGGCACGAAAGUGUGGGUAUCGAACAGGAUUAGAUACCCGUGUAGUC
This 459-nucleotide ribosomal RNA is filed under the name uncultured bacterium. Its description in RNAcentral is "partial 16S ribosomal RNA". It matches the Rfam family "Bacterial small subunit ribosomal RNA", at positions 338 to 795 of the family's 1533-position model. The record is from RNAcentral.